Molecule: ribosomal RNA, 371 nt
Filed under: uncultured bacterium
Lineage: Bacteria
Description: bacterial SSU rRNA
Rfam family: Bacterial small subunit ribosomal RNA
Source: RNAcentral
GGGGGGGGCGAGCGUUAUUCGGAAUUAUUGGGCGUAAAGGGCGCGUAGGCGGCUUUUUAAGUCAAAGGUGAAAUCCCUCGGCUCAACUGAGGAACUGCCUUUGAAACUGAGGAGCUUGAGUCCGGGAGGGGGUAGCGGAAUUCCCAGUGUAGCGGUGAAAUGCGUAGAUAUUGGGAGGAACACCAGUGGCGAAGGCGGCUACCUGGACCGGAACUGACGCUGAGGCGCGAAAGCGUGGGUAGCAAACAGGAUUAGAUACCCUGGUAGUCCACGCUGUAAACGAUGGGUGCUCGGUGUCGCGGGUAUCGACCCCUGCGGUGCCUUAGCUAACGCGUUAAGCACCCCGCCUGGGGAGUACGGUCGCAAGGCUG